Juglans microcarpa x Juglans regia is the source of this 694-nucleotide long non-coding RNA. RefSeq lists it as uncharacterized. The record is from RefSeq and is a predicted model, not a curated record. Lineage: Eukaryota; Viridiplantae; Streptophyta; Magnoliopsida; Fagales; Juglandaceae. The transcript has 2 exons.
GAUGUAGCUAGGAAGCUUCCGACAGAUAGAUAUAACCUCCCCCAGAAGAGCCCGCACCGCCUACGAGUCCGUCUCUUCCUAAUCUACCAGUACUUCUAGAUAUAUCGAACUAAAAACAAAAAAGGAAAAAACCAGUCUUCUAGAUUAUUAUAAUUAUCAUUUCCAGUUUUUCCAAUUAAACUAAUCCGUCACCAUCAUCUUCUAAUAAUGCAAUGGAAACUUCAAAGAAACUCCCAUUGCCAGCCUUUAUGAUCCUGGUGGCCUUAUUUCUCACAAUAUCGCGUAGUCUUUUGUGAGCCUCUUUAAUUAGUUUAGCUUCUCUCUUCAAAACGAUAAAUGGGAACGCCGGCGCCUAAGCAGCUGCUGCUUCUGCUGCUGCUUAUACUGAUUGUUUCAACGUCCCACCUGCAACCAGGUGGUGUUGCAGAAGCAAGGCCUAUUUCCUCAAUACCUCAACAAAGCCGAUACUCAAAGAUUUUCUCGACGUUAGGAAUUGUUUGCAAGUGUUGUGAUGGAGACAAAGGUGAAUGCACUAGUACACGGACGGAGUCCUGCUCUAAGCUCCAAUGCUUUCCCUGGAAACUAAACUAGCUAGCUAGUCACUGCAUCAUGUAGUUUUUUGUUUCUUCUGGGUUUCUGUACAUAUUAUUACUAUUAAUUGAUAUAUAUAAACUGGGUUGAUCCCAUUAUGCCA